AUUGAACGCUGGCGGAAUGCUUUACACAUGCAAGUCGAGCGGCAGCGCGGGGCAACCUGGCGGCGAGCGGCGAACGGGUGAGUAAUACAUCGGAACGUGCCCAGACGUGGGGGAUAGCCCGGCGAAAGCCGGAUUAAUACCGCAUACGAUCUACGGAUGAAAGCGGGGGAUCGCAAGACCUCGCGCGUCUGGAGCGGCCGAUGGCAGAUUAGGUAGUUGGUGGGGUAAAGGCUUACCAAGCCUACGAUCUGUAGCUGGUCUGAGAGGACGACCAGCCACACUGGGACUGAGACACGGCCCAGACUCCUACGGGAGGCAGCAGUGGGGAAUUUUGGACAAUGGGGGCAACCCUGAUCCAGCCAUGCCGCGUGAGUGAAGAAGGCCU
This 385-nucleotide ribosomal RNA is filed under the name uncultured bacterium. RNAcentral describes it as "bacterial SSU rRNA". It matches the Rfam family "Bacterial small subunit ribosomal RNA", at positions 29 to 417 of the family's 1533-position model. The record is from RNAcentral.